RNAcentral lists this long non-coding RNA (38385 nucleotides) under Marmota monax (woodchuck). The stretch from base 8074 to 8142 matches the Rfam family "tRNA". The record is from RNAcentral. Lineage: Eukaryota; Metazoa; Chordata; Mammalia; Rodentia; Sciuridae.
AGGCACUGUACCUCUAAUGUGCUCAGAAGCAGGAGGCCAAGGCUCCAUGCCAGGUGGCGCUGGACUUGCCGGUUGACCUUGGACAUGCUGGAUCCCUUGGUUCACAAGAAAAACAAGAAGGGCAGGUCAGUUCAAACCUGAACAGAGGGAUUGACAGUCAGAGUUUAGGGGAGGCCUGAGCGAGGGAUAAUGCUGGUUCUUUGAACAAUGCAUUUCAUUGACUCUUCCUAGAAGAAGGAAUAUUUGGGUCAAGGAGACCUGCUUUCGAUUGAGUUUUAGGUCCCCUCUUCCAGCUCUCUCCUUUGGCAUAUCAUUUUCUUCUUGAAGAAAGUAUUGACAGCUGAUUUUCUAGAUGAAUUAAAAAAUAGAUAUCCUCUGAAAAGUUCAUUAACUAUCUUAGGAAAAUAUUAGAUCUUCGGAGGGCUUAUUCUCUGAUAAGAAGUCACUUUUUUACUAGGAAAUGGCGAGAUCACAAGCCAGAUCCACUUGACAGAACCACCUUCUGACAUUUUUGUUUCUCCCUGUACCUUCCUCACCCAACUCCACAUAAAAUACAGGAGGCCACAAUGGUCAGAUUUAUUGGACCCAUUCUAACUAGUAGGACUUUUGCUUAUACCCCUAACCUUUAAAGAUAGAUAUAUAUUUCUGUUUAAUUGAAUAAUUCAUUUUAAUAAUUGUUCUUUUUAGAGUCUUGAAACACACAGUCCAAUCGUCUUUAAUUCAGUAUAAAGUGUCUCUUGAUACUUCAUGCGUCUGCCAAUACAAAGAGAUACUUUCAUUAGCAUAAAUGGCUGGAGAAUUCACAGUAAGCUUGGUCUUUUACACAACACCAAUGUGAAUAUUAAUCACGAUAGCUGAGGUGAGAAAGAAUAAAUGGCAGCGUUUGAUACUGAAGUGUGAUUAGAAACAAAAUUAUUUUCUUUCGUUGAUUUAUUUGCAGAGAAUUAGAAAACCUUGCCUAAACUUGUCUUCUAUGAAGAAAAAAAAAGGCAAGUGAACAUUGUCAGCCUGUGUCUUCUAGAAGCACAGGAACCUUUUUUUUUUUUAGUUCUUUUUAGUUAUAUGUGACAGUAGAAUCCAUUUUGAUAUAAUUAUACAUGCAUGGAAUAUAUCUUAUUCUCAUUAGGGCCCCAGUCUCUAUGUUCACAUAGUGGGAUUAACAGUGGUGUAUUUAUAUAUGUGUGUAGAAAAGUUAAAUCUGAUUCUUUCCACUGUCUUUCCUAUUCCUGUCCCCACUUCCCUUCAUUCCCCUUUGUCUAAUUCUCUGAACUUCUAUUCUUCCUCUCUCUCCCCCUUAUUGUGGGUUUGCUUCAAAACUUUAAGGGGUGCCUCCUGUAACCUGAGAGUGAAAGAAGAAGAGAAAGAACUCCUUUAAUCUCCAUCUGCAUAGUGGGCAUCAAGAAAGCAGUGGGGAAGGGAAUGAGUAGAACAUUUGCUUUAACAAUAGCCAAGGCUGUUACGACAUCUAAACCCUGCUGUUCUGUGUGCCUCUCCAUUAAAGACAGACAUCUUCAGACCCACAGGCUUUCGACCAUUAUUUGAGUCACAUGUUUCCUAAAAGGAUCAAUCACACAUCUCUCAAUGCCCAUUAGAAUAUAUGACAUCAUGAAAUGGGUGGAAAUACCUUAUUGUACCCCUUGACCCUCUUAUUUCUCCAUUAGCAAUCUGUACCGAGUAACAUUGGUGUUACUUUAUAAGCCGUUAAAGUUCAUCUCUAUCUUCACCACCCAUUCAAACUCUCAGUACUUCCCUCUGCAUGGCCCCUUUAUGCCCUGAAUAUUCCUAUUCCAACCACAUAUCAAUGUUGAAUCCACUACUUUGAACAUGAUAGCUCAGGCUAAAAGGAAAGAUGAGUUUGCGAAUCAGACAGAUUUGAAUGGAAGACUCUUUUCUUUCUAGCUGUGUGAACUCAAGACAAGUCACCCCACUUCUCAGAGCCCCUUUCUACUUACCUAAAACACAAGAAUAGCAACACUUACUUUAUGGAAUUGGUGUAAGAAUUUAACAGAAAAAUGUAUGUGAAACCUCAGUCAAAUACUAUUGCAACUAGUGGUUCAUGCAUGCCGAUAUAGUCUGGAAUAAUGUUCCAAACAGUCUUACUUCAAGUUUUAUCUUUUAAAUAUUUUAAAGUCUAAAAACAAACAAAAAUGUGGUCUUAGGAGUCAUUUCUCCUCUUUGUUCAACUCAUCACUAGUUCUGUACUAGAGCUGGAACUUCAGUCUCCAUUUCUGAGGCCAUUCUAUGUGGACACUCCCUUACAGACACUGAAGAACAACAACAUUCUCAGAACAUUUCUUGAUUUUUUUCUUUUCUUCCUGUGGAUCCCCUGUCCCUUUAGUUCCCCUUCUUUUCUUAUUUCCAAUCAUCAGUUCCUCAGUUAGUAAAGGGCUUGGUGUCCCUUAAAACACUGAGGGAUCAGACAUCUACGGGACAUACAUCUGGAGUUGAGAUGUGUCUCUGUAUUAGUUUCUCAUCACUGCAACAAAUCAACAUAGGCUAGUAGCUCAAAAGAACUCAUACUAUCAUACAGUUUGGUAGGUUAGAACUUAAACAUGGUUCCCACUGGGCUAAAACCAAGGUGUGGACAGGGCUGCAUUCCUUUCUAGAACCUCUUGGGGCAAUAGACUCCAUGCCCCUUUCUAACUCCUAACCCCUAGAGGCCAACCGCACAAUCCAUGGCUCCUUUACUCCAACUUCAAUACCAGCAAUGUUGUGUCUCUCAGACUGUUCUUCCUUCCACAUCUGCCUCUGAUCUUCCUCUUUAGCCUCCCUCUUCCAAUUUUAAGGACCCUAGUGAUUUCAUUGGACCCACCUGGAUAAUCUCCUUAUUUUCAAGUGAGCUCAUUAGCAAACUUAACAUCCUCUGCCACCACAGUUUCUCUUUCCCUUGUAAACUAAUGUUCCACAGUCACAUGGAUUAGGACAGGGACAUCUUUUGGAGGCUUUUAUUUGGCCCACCGGAAGUUUUUAUUUCUUCUUCUUCUUCUACUUUGAAUGGCAUUCCCAAAUAGCCUCUUUCAUUAAUCUUACUUCAAUCAAUUCCACAUCCCAUUAAAAGAGAUUAAUCUUUGACUUACUAGGAAAAGGGGUAGAGACAAAACAUCCUUUUACGUAUCUAAAGAAUCUACUAGUUUGCCUUAUACAAUGACUAAUAAAUGGUAGUCUCCUCCCCUUUUAUUGGAAAAGCAGCAUCCUAGACACUACUAGAUGGGGGCUAAAUUUCCUGAUCCAACAUUCAUGGUGAUCUAUAGUCUGGUUCAAUCUGUCCAUACAUGCUAUCAUUCUCUGGCAUGUUCAUUGUCUCCAAAUGACACCAGAGCAAAUGAAAUCCUUUGAGAACCCAACCUCUACACCAGACAAGGUCCACAUGCAGAUUAAGUAUUAAGUAUUUCAAAGGUCUUACAUUUAAGAGUUUGAGUGGAGUAGUUUUGCCAUCAUUUUCUGCCUAGCACUCUGCAAUGCUGCUAUUGGCUCCUGGCAUCUUCUCAAGCCAUUUUCUUCUCCCAGCAUAUCGGUUAGUUUCAACUCUUUUGUGAAAUCUUCUGUCAAAAAGCUAUUCUUUCCCAGCUUAAAGGGAACUCUACCUUCUGAGAAUUAAAUGCAUAAAUUAAGACAUAUUCAUCAUUUGGUGAAGUUUUUAAAUAGCCUUGGGAUAUCUCCUGGGUCCAUGCGUGAUUAUCUCAUUUUCCCGAAACAAAUUGCAGGUCCCUCAAGGGCAGAAACUGUCUUCCAUCUUUUUCUAUUGCACAAGUCAAACAGUGGGUGUUGAGUUGAGGAGUGGGGUAUUGAAUCUUUAUUUGCAAUAAGGAAAAAUUACAGAAUUGCUUUGGAAAAAACAUGCAAAAAUUUGGGGUCUUUCAUGCUGGUCACAAAUAUGUCUACUUUGCCUAAGAAUAUGAGGAUUUGUACUUCCUAGUACCCUUGAAGUUAGGUGUAGUAAAUAUGACUCAUUUUGCCCAAAGGAAAUGUUAGCAAAAGUAACCCUCAUUUUUCAGGAAGUUUUUAAGUGUUUAUUGUGUCUUGUCCUCUUUUCAUGGUGACUAGCUAAAGUAAGGUGUGGAAGUUCCAAGAGCCCGUGUCCCUGAAUGAAGCUUCAACUGAAUUGAGAGGUACCUGAAGCAGAAGUGAAAAUUAGACCUGGUGUGAUGCAUUUGUUACAAUUAGUGAGCCCAUGUUGACGUACCAUUAUUAACUAAAGUCCAUAUUUUUCCCAUUCCCUUAGUUUUCACGUUAUGCCUCUUUUCUGUUCCACGAUCUCAUUCAGGAUACCACAUUACAUUUAAUUGCCCUGACCCUUCUGGGCUCCUCUUGGUUAAGACAUUUUCUUUGUGUUUCCUUGCUUUUGAUGACUUCAAUAAUGUUGAGUAACACUGGUCAGCAAUAUUGAAAGAUGUCUCUCUAUUGAAUUUGUCUGAUGUUUUUUCAUGAUUGGAUUGGGGUUAUGUGUUUUGAGAGGGAAGAACACAGAGAUAAAGUGCUGUUAUCAUAUCAUAUCAUAUCAAAGAUAUAUAUUAUCAAUAUGACAUGAUAAUUGAUGUUGACCUUGAUCAACUAGCUAAAGUGCCAUUUUUUUUUUGUUUUCUCCAUUGUGAAGUUGCUCUACAUUCAGCCCUUUUUAUAUUCUGUACUCUUGGAAAGAAAGUUACUAUAUACAGCUCUUAUUUUUAAAGAGGGGAAACUUUGGCUCCCCCUCUUUAGGAUGGAGUAUACAUAAAUUAUUUGUUGUUUCCUGCAUAGAGAUUUAACUUCUUCCCAUUUAUAAAUUUAUUUGAAAGUUGAUUUCUAUCAAAAUGGACUCAUGGAUAUUCAUUAUAUUUUUGGUGUUAUAGUCCAAUACUACUUUGUUUAUUUUAUUACUUACAUUUUUUCUAGCUUUGUGAAUUGGGUGAUCUUUCAAUUGGUUACUGUGAUCCUUUGAUAUACAUUGAUUUUUUUUUUUAGCACUUCCUUCCUUUCUGAAACUAUAAGAUGUUCCAGAAUCUCCUUGCCUAUUUCCUGCCCCAUAAUUAGAAUUAGUUAUUUCUCCACGAAUCCCUGGUUCUCUUUAUUAGAGUAUAAACCAAGAUCUGGGUGAUAGUUAUGUUCAUUUCUACUGGGGUAUCAUUUCUUAUAGGCCCUUUCAUCUGAUACUACAAUAAAUAUGCAUGUGUGUGUGUAUAUAUAUAUAUAUAUAUAUAUAUAUAUAUAUAUAUAAAUCCAUACACAUACAUAUAUCUAAAAGUAUUUCUACAUGCGACUCUCCAUAUCUGCAACAAGCUAAGUAAGAGUCCUCACUGAUAUCUUCAACUGUCACCAUUACCAAGUGGAUCAUUCUAGCCCCCUCACCCUUACUUAUCUGUAAAUUACUACUCCAACAGUGAACCAGAAUUCAUAAUCCAUAUUCCCAUGAGAAACAGCUUUAUCAAGCCAAGUACCAUACCUGUGUACAUCUCCUUUUACUUUUAAUCUUACAGACACUGUUCAUUUCCAAAGCUACUUGGGACAGCAGCAUUCCCACCCAGCCAUUCAAUGAAUGUGUUUUAUACAUUUAUGUAUACUCAGAUUCUCUUGUCACAGUUGUUGGGAGUUGUUUUUAGUCAUACUGUUACUAUAUUCUAGUCUCUCUUUUGAUGUGCCAAGUUGUGAAAGGGUUUACUAUAUUAAAAAAAAAAGUAGAGUUGAGAGCUUUCUUAGAAGGCAUGACUUUUUCUACCUCAUUCAUCACUCUGAGGUCAGAGGAAAAUCCAAGUUAACACAAAGAAUGUUUUCUCUAUUCUAUUCUCAAUCUACUUCCUUAAAAGUGUGGAAGGUAUUAUGGACUUCAAGGGUUAAUGCUCAUUAUAACUAGAUAAUUGUGCUUUUAGGGCCCCGUGGUAGAUGAAACCUACCCUCACCAUUUCCCCUCUUGCCCACAAACCACUUUUUGGAGACUAGAGAGGAGCCUGGUCUUGACCAUACCCUUGAGGUUUGAAGAUAGACAAAUUUGAACUCAUUAGAGUACCAGAGAGUGCAACAUGAGCCAAAGACAGCCAUAUUGCUAGUCUUGUGCUGUGCCUAUAUCCUAACUCAGACGGCCCCUUAGCUGCCAAGCCGACCUCAUAAUCAUGCCCUUGGAAACUCUAAAAUUCAUUUUCAAUCUUGCUUUUCCUAUAGAAUAGGAUCUUAAUAGCAUUCUGACUGUGACCUUUGAGAGUCCAAGAAAACACAAAAGAACUAUAGAACACUGACUCCUCAAACAGAUAAUAGAGUUCAAUUAUUAAAUACAGAGCUCGAGUAAACACCAGAUUGAAUUACUCUGGGUUGUUUCAGAAGCAUAACUUCAGGAACAUAAUGUUGUAACUUAGCCUUAGUUCCUCAGUGUUGAACUUGGCUUUAUAUUGAAUGCCACAGUCAGGUAUAGUGGUCCUACCUGCUUGAACUAAUCUCUAUGGUGCACACUUGGAAGCUUCCGGUCUGCUUGUUCAGUGGUGGUACAGAAUUAUGUUUCUAAGUAGCAGCAAAUCCCUUGUCAAAAAGGAUUGUUUUUAAACCUCAGAGACUUGUUAGCACUGUGUAACUAAUAAUAAGAAAAUGCUUGCAGAUUAAGAGGACUAUACCAAUGCUCAGAUCGCCAGACAUAAAACUGGUAGGAAUGUGCCUAUGUGUGUGUGCUCCACCCCCUUCCUCCCACACACAAGGACUUGUACACUAUAAAGAUAUAAGGAGGGCUUUCUCUCAAGGCAACCUGUCUUAUUUUGCCUGCCCAUUUAGAAGUAUUCCUAAAUAUUAGAAGCAUUUAAAUACCAUACUUUGGUGCUCAUAAAAAUUCAUGUUUAGGAAGAUUCAAAAAACACAAACUGUUGUUAAAAUGUCCAACUUGGACUGUUUGUUUAUUUCUCAAACUAUGUUUGCUCAAAAACCAUCACAUGCAUGCAUCCUCUGCUAAAGACAACUAUCACCCAGAGUUCUAACCAAUAAGUGUGUGCUUCCAACAGCCAAGCAUUGAGAGCUUUCUAAUCUGAGACCUAGAAGACCAGCAUGCCUCUGUCAAAGCAUUGAUCUACAUCCCAAGCAAGAGACAAUAAGUCAAAUACAAUUUGUAAAUGUAAUGUGUCAAUUUAAAACUGCUGUUCACAGAGGGUUAGAAAACCAAUUUUCAGAGGAGCAGGUCAGAAGUGGUAAACAAAUUCCCACGGCUAAGCAGUUGCUGAUGUAAAUUGUCUGAAAUGAAAGAUAUUUAUUCAUGACCACAGUGGGUUCAAAAAAUUAAUUCAGAGAAGUUUUUUUCACCUUCCCUGGAGUAUGCAAUUCUUAAAUAAAUGAUCAAUAGCUGACUUGAGCCAAAUAGAAGGACUUGUCCAGGAUCAGGCAGGUAAUUACUUACAGUGAUGAGCCUAGGAAGUAAGACAGCCAGGGACACAGUAGCAUUAAUCACGGCUUUAAACUCUCUCUCCCCUUCUAGCUGCAUCAUCUGAAAAAUCACCGAACAACUUAGUCCACUAGGAAAUUCAUAGAUCAGAGUGUGUAUUUCAGAUACCUCCAUCUUCAGAACAACUCCCAGAGCAGGCAGAAAGGAUUAUUAAUGGGAGGCAAUAUCAUUUUGUACCUUUUAAGAGACAUUGGAGCUCCUGGUUAGCUGAAGGAGCCCGAGUAAAUGAGGGUUGGGGGAGGUGAAAAAGACAUGAGCAAUUGGGGUCUGUAAAUAUCUGUUUAGUUCCCUGGUGGGAAUCGAGAAGAGAACAUUUGCUUCAUUUAGUCCUCAGAACAAAAUACCCACAGCUGGAACCCAAACUUUCUGCCUCUAUAAGCUGGGCCAAGAUGAAAAAGCUAAUGUGGAAUCAGUCUGGCAUUUCAGUCCUUUAUUUGUCCCCAAGGGUGACUCACUGACAGGUCUAUGGAAGAAAAUGGCAGUGUAGUGCGUCAAAGCAGGAGGAAAGGAACCCUGGAUGUGCAGAUAUAGUGACCCCACAAAUGCCACUUCUGUGAAUCCGGGAAUAGUUACUCAAGUAUGUAAGCAUAGCUGAAGUUAGAACAGUAAACAAAAACUAAUGUCCAUCUCUAGGGAGAAGGCUAAAAAGCGAAUAUUUUAUAACUACAAAAACAAAGUAGGGGGCUGGGUAUGUGGCUCAGAGGUAGAGCACUCACCUAGCAUGCAUGAGGCACUGGGUUCAAUCCCCAGCACCACAUAAAAAUAAAAUAAAGAUAUUGUGUCCACCUAAAACUAAAAAUAUAAAUAUUUUUAAAAAACAAGGUAGAUGUGUAUGUGUGUUGUUAUAUGUAUGGGUGUAUAUGUGUGUGUGUAUAUAUAAACAUAUACAUAUAUGAAUAUAUAUACAUAUAUAUACAUACAUACACAUACAUCUAUAUACACACACAUAUAUAUAGUAUAGAAUUAUUUUCAAUAUGAAUUAUUAAAUGAAAAAAGCAAGAAACAGAACAAGAUGGAUAGCUUGUUUGCACUCAUAGAAAAAUAUGUAUGUAUCAAUAUUUUAUAUUGUUAUCAUUAUACAUCCAUAGACAAUUUCUGGCAAACAUCCAAAAACUAUUGACUUUGAAAACUUGGGAAUGAAUGAAAGUCUUAAAAAAUGAGGAGAGGAAUUUAUAUUUUCCUCCAUAUUUAAUAUUUUUCUUACUGCAAAUGUAAAUUAAUUAUAAAAUUAAAACACACUUAACAAAAAAGCUUCCCUUUCCUAAGAGGAACAUGAAUCAAGUAGUCUGUAGCCCUCAGUGACUUAUUCUUUAGUCACUUACAACCAAUGAGAAAUUACUGAAAUCCAAGGUGUUUCAGGUAGACUGAAACACUAGUUCUGUGAUCUUGGAUAAGUGCCUUACAGAUUUUUUUUAAUAAAUUAAUAGGCCAGACUAGAUUUAGGAUAUUCACAGAAGAGGGCACAUCUGCUGCCUUGGGUGUGGAAGACUAGGGAGAAGUGGCAGGAUUCCAGAUGCUGUUGUCCAUACCUCUGCUUCAAGAGUGGAUUUAACCUCAUCUAAUUUACUUACAUGAUGCUUCCGGGUAGGUUAUAGUUAAAGUAAUGGGCCUAAGGCUAAAAUACACUGAAAAAUAAAAACUCCUGAGAAUGCAAGAAAUGCAUUUCUAACAUUGGUUAGCACUUAUUGAGUGCCCGUGAUAUGUUGAGCACCAAACCAACAACUUUAUAUGCAGCAUUUCUAUUAAUCCUUACCAUAAUUCUAUGAAGUAGGUAUUAUUGUCAUUCCCAUUUGAGAGUUAAAGAAGCAACAAUGACCUCCCUUGCCCUAGCCAAUAUCCCACAAAAGGAAAGAAUUGAAGACAAGAGAACAAACUCAGGAACUCCCAAGUAGUCCACUUACUCAAUGACUAUGAGAUACCUUGUCAGGCAUCAGAACAGGGAAAGUGUGUUCCCAUCUUACCUAGCCCACCAGGAGGCCAACAAGAUGAUAAGAUGGUAAGGUAGGUGCUUGGUCAGUGCUGCUCAUAGAAAUUUGCAUUUAUAUAGACUGGGGACUGAGCAGCAUCACCUGGGAGCUUUCAAGAAAGACAAAAUCAUAGACUCCACCCAGGAUGACAGAGUCAGUGACUCUAGGGGUAAAGGCCUGCCAUCUAAAUUUUAAUAAGGUCCCCAGGGAAUUCAUAGAUUCCUUCAGGUCUGAGAAGUGGUCUGAACACCACUACUGAGUUUUCAGUUCAAGUAUAGUGGCCAUUACCUCUCUGAAGAUUAGAAUCACCUGGAAAGUUCUUUAAGACUAUUGAUGCUCAAGCCCCAAUUAAUUAAAUCUUAGGGGAUACCUGGAAGUGUUUAUUUUUUGUAGCUGCCUGGAUUAUUCCACUGUGCAGCCAAAGUUAAAAAACAUUAUUCUAAACCUAAAACUUCAAAGACCAGUGAGUCUCUUUGCCUGCAUAAAAUCACUUGGGGAGCAUUAAAAAUACUGAUGUCUGAACUCCUAGGGAUUUUGUUUCUGUUGUUCUGGAGAGUGGCCUGAACUUGGGACUUUUUAACGCUCCCUAAACAACUUGAACAUACAACCAGUCAAGAACCGCCUUAGGAGGAGGGAGGGCCCAGUGUAAAACUGGCUUCUAUUUCACAUGGUUCAUCCACUCAUAUAGAUGCAACAAAAGCUUAAGGCUAAUGACAAGGAGAUUCCAGUGGAUUUCCACCAGGACUUGGGCACUCUGAGCAAAUUCCUAGACCAGGAACUCUAAGACACUUAUUUGUCAACAUUGCCACAAUGUAAAAGUUCUGCUGUGUUUUUACUUCCUCUUGACUCCUCCAAACCCUCAGACCAGUAAAAAUGAGUACAGAUACUGCAGUUUGUGAGCUUGACACUUAUUUAGCUGUAAGCUCAGAAAUCUGAAUCAUCGUUCCCAGGAAACAUCUAAAAUUGCAGCCUGUUGAGAAGAAGAUGCUCAAAGGAAAUAAACUCAGACCCAGCCUACUCCUGAGAAAAUUAUGCCUUUCAGGGAAGAACAAAGCAUCAUACCUUUUAAUGAACAGGAUAUAUUUGCUUGGGUCUCAUGUUAAUUUAGGACUCAGGCUAAUCCCAGUGGAGGAGUCAACAUUUGCAUUUAUAUAGAGGCUGAAUACUCUAUCAAAAGACAUCUGUCCUGAAAUUUUAUUUUUCCAUAGGAAACAGUGAGGUCAAAAUGAUAACAUCAUUGGGUAAGGGUAUUGGACAAAGCAUAAGCAUUUAACACAGAGAGAUUCAAGUUCAAGUCUGACUUCUGCUUUUUAACACUUAGGUAAGUUAUUUUAUCUCUCUAAGGUACCACUUCCUCAUCUAUAAAAUAGAGGUAAUAUCUCUUUCAUGAGCAGAUUGAUAAUAAUCAAAUGGAAUGCUAAGCAUAAAGCUUCUGACACAAUUGGUAUAGGCACCAAAUUAAUAUUUGCCUCCAUUUCAUUCCUUGCCUAUAUUUUCUCAACAAACAGGAGAUGAAAUAAAUUUAUUUCCUUUAAUUGAAACCCAUUCUGGUUCCAUAUAGGGCAGCUAUCAGGCAUCACUCACACUGAUCAAAGCCAACAUUCCACUUUUGGGGAAGCUUACGAAUUCUCUGGGCUCUCCAUCCAGCAAAGAGACUACCAUGAUUUAUACUGGAGCAACAGAAAUUAAAGAGCAACAAGAGAUUGAAAGGAACUGAAGGAGGAAAUAAGACUCAGAAAUCAGAAACCAAAAAAGUGGAAUAAAUGUGGUCCAUUUACCUGCAAAUUUAACCAACCCAAGCUUUCAGAAAAAUAUGCAGACUAAUGUUUAUUUCUCUGUCCCAGGAUCCCAGUCUUAUCAUGUCCUGCUCUUAAGAUACUCUCUACCUAAGCAAUAUGCUUUCAGAAAUAACUGAAAACUCACCAUAAACAGAGUGGUAAGUUUGGGUAGGUAAAGAUGAAAAAUAAAUCGGUCCUUUGAGGAAGACUUCUGUUGAUCCAGAGCCAGGAAUUCACAUUUAACACCCUCUUGCCUGGACUCUGUAGGAGCCUAGGGUAGCAAUCUCCCCACCUAGAAAUUGUUUGCUGCCUUCUGCUCUGAAGAACUUCUUCCUUGACUGUGCUGAGCUCACUCAUAUGGGGACUUCCUCAGACUUUCUCAGUCUUUGUCUCAUGUUCUUCUUCCUCUGACCAUCCUUUGUAUGCUGUGUUCUCCCAGAAAGAAAAGAACACAGCCCAAGUCAUCAACCUAGCACCUCAUCCUCACCCAUCAUUUCAAGGACAACAUUUGUAGGAUAACCCACAAGGCCAUUCUUCAUUCUCUGCUCCUCUCCUGUGCAACAAACUUUAAUACCCAACUGCCACCAAAACCUGAAUCCAACAUGUCUAAAACCUAACUAGUAUUUUCUCCCAAAUUUGUUCUGUUUCCUAUCAUUUGCACCUCAUGAAAGAAGCCCCUGGUAACACAGUUACAAGUCAAUCUGUCCUUGACCUUCAUUCUCUAAUGUAUCUAAUCAUCAGAACAUCUGACAAUUUGAUUCUUGUUUCAUGAAUCCACUGGACAGCUCCAGAAUCUGCCUACUUACUCUUUGGAAGGCCAGAUACCUACAUAUGAAAAACUAAUAUUGGUAUGAUGCAGUCUCAUUCGCCUGUCCAAUAAAUGUUGGCUAAAAUUUUAUUUCUUUGUAGACAUAGGUUCUUGGAGAGAGAGGAAAAUGAGAAUCUCUUUCCUUGAGAAGCUCAUAGACUAAUAUAGGAAUGAGGAAAGAACUUAUAUAUCAGUACCUAAAUCCAAAGUUGGCAAUGAUGACUAUGAUAUUGUGUAAUACUUGCUAAAAUAAAGUGUCUCAACUUUGAACAUUUUAAGGAGGAUCCUUCAUUAGACAGACUUUGUACAGGAAAUUCAAAGAUAAGAAGAUACUACUGCUGUUACCACUGCCUUCAUGGACUCAUGUUUAUUAACGACUUUACAAACAUACAAGGCUUUGUGUGCAUUUUUCUAUGUACAUCUCUCAUUCAAUUUUCACAAAGCCCAGCAUAAUAGAAACUGCAUAAAAAUACUUCUAUCUUGCUAAUGCAGAAACUGAAGUUUCCAGAGAUUGAUUAUUGUCUAAGGUCACACAAUUAGUAAAGACGCAGAUCCAUUCUUUAAAUCACCACGUCACAUACAGAACACCAUGUCUAGCAGAAUGUAAGAUAAAUUCCAUGGGAAUGCCACAGAAGGUCAGAAUCAAGCUGUUUUCUCCAGUAUGAUGGCCCCUAGGCACAUGUAGCUUCUGAACAUUUUGUGAAUCAUCCAAAUUGAAAAAGAUACUGAAAAUAGCUAGUCCAGAUUUUGAAGAUUUCAUAUAAACAAAUAAUACAAAAUAUCUUAAUAAUAACUUUUCAAUGAUUAUAUAUGGAAAUAAUAUUUUAUAUAUAUAUUGGGUUAAGCAAAAUAUAUUAUUAGGAUCUAUGCCACAUGUUUUUCUUUUUUAGAGCAUUCUGUUUAUAUAUAUAGAAGUUUGGUUCAUUUUGACAAAAUUGCACAUGCUUGGAAUUUGAUUUACUACAUUUCAGUCUUCAUUCCCCCUGACUUUUCUUCCUCUCUUCUCUCCCCAUUCUUCUUCCUCUAAUCUACUGAUCUUCCUUUCAUUUAUUUAUUUAUUUAUUUAUUUAUUUAUUUAUUUUUGAUUGGUGCUUUCAAAAUACACAUAAAGGUGAAAUUCCCUGUGGUAUGUGUAUAUAUGCACAUAACAUAAUGUUGUUAAAUUGAUUUCACAUCCCCACCCCUUCCCAUCCCUCUUUGCUCCCUCUUGAUCUCCUUCUUCUAUUUAUUCCACAAUCUUCCCUAAACAUUUAUGAUAUCCUAUCUUCAUUCCUUGUUAUCUUCUUUUCCUUAUUUUGUUCUAGUUUCCACAUACGAGAGAAAACAUUUGACCUUUGAUUUUCUGAGUCUGGUCUAUUUCACUUAACAUGAUAUUCUCCAUUUCCAUCCAAUUUAUCAGCAAAUGCCAUAAUUUCAUUCUUCUUUAUGGCUAAGGAAAACUCAUACUGUGUAUACGUAACACAUUUUCUUGAUCCAGUCAUCUAUUGAUGGGCAUGUAGGCUGAUUCCAUAAUUUUGGCUAUUAUGAAUUGUGUUGCUAUAAACAUUGAAGUGGCUGUAUCAUCAUAGUAUACUGAUUUUAGUUCUUUUGGAUAAAUAUCAAGAAGCAGCACAGCUGAGUCAUAUGGUUGUUCUAUUCCUAGUUUUUUGAGGUGUCUCCAUACUUCUUUCCAGAAAGGCUAUACUAAUUUACAGUCCCACCAACAAUGUGUCAGUCUUCCUUUCCUCCCACAUUCUCGCUGGCAUUUAUUAUUAUUUGUAUUUGUAUUUUUUGUUGUUGUUGUUUUUGGUAUCCAGGGUUACUUUAACCCUUACCUACAUCCCCAGCUCUUUUUAUUUAUUUAUUUUUUGAGACAGUUUAUGGCUCAAUUAUUUAGGACCUUGUUAAGUUGCUGAGGCUGGUCUUGAUUGUGAUCCUCCUGCCUCAGCCUCCUGAGUCACUGCAAUUACAGGUGUGUGCCAUCAGACCCACCUAGUAUUUGUAUUCUUGAUAAUUGCCAUUCUGUCCAAAGUGACAUGAAAUCGAAAUGUAGUUUUCAUUUUGCAUUACUCUGUUAGAGAAGUUGAACAUUGUUUUCAUGUUAGUUGGUCAUUUGUGUUUCUUCUUUUGAUAAGUGGCUGGUUAGUUCUUUUGCCCAUUUAUUGAUUGGUGGGGUUUUUUUUUGGUGUUUAUUCAGUUCUUUGUAUAUUUGGGAUAUUAAUCCCCUAUCAAAGGAGCAACCACCAAAGAUUUUCUUCUAUUCUGUAGGGAGAAUCUCUCUUCAGUUAUAAUCAUUUCAUUUGCUGUGCAGAAGCUUUAUGAUUUGAUGUUUUUACGCUUAUUGAUUCAUUCUUGGUUUUAUUUCUUGAGUUUUAGGGGUCUUGUUAAGAAAGCCAGUGCCCACACCAAUAUGUUGAAAUAUUUUCUUCUAGAAGUUGCAAGGUUUCUCACCUAAUUCCCAAGUCUUUUACCCAUUUUGAUUUGACUUUUGUGCAGGGUGAGAGGGAUCUAGUUUCAUUCUUCUACAUAUAGAUGUCCAGUUUUCCCAGCCCUAGCCCUAUUUGUUUAAAAGGCUAUUUUUCUACAACAUAUAUUUUUAGCAUAUCUGUCAAGUAUCAGAUGGCUGUUACAUAUGUGGAUUUGUCUCUGUGUCUUAUAUUUAGUCCAUUGGUCUUGAUGUCUGUUUUGAUGCCAAUACCAUGCUGUUUUGGUACAACAGCUUUGUAGUAUUAGUUCAUAUCAGGUAUGGUGAUGUCUCCUGCAUCUUGCUUCUUGCUCAGGAUUGCUUUGGCUAUUUUAGGUCUCUUAUUUUUCCAAAUGUAUUUUUGGACAAUUUCUUUUCUCAUUCUGUGAAGAAUGCCAUUAGUAAACACAUUAUAUUUAUGAUGGGGAUUGCAUUGAAUCUGCAUAUUGCUUUUGCAGUAUGGACAUUUUGACAAUAUUAAUUCUGCCUAUGCAAGAGCAUGGGAGGUCUUUACAUCUUCUAAGGUCUUCAAUUUCUUUCUUCAGUGUUCUAUAUUUUUUGUUAUAGAUCUGCUUCACCUCCUUGGUUAGCAUUAAUUAAUUAAUACUAAUUCCCAAGUAUAUUAUAAUGUUAUUGUGAAUGGAAUGGAUUUUCAUCUUUCUCAGUAGAAUCAGUGCUGAAAUACAGAAAAGCUAGUGAUUUAUGAAUGUUGAUCUUGUGCCCUGCUACUUUGGUAAAUUCAUUAUUAAGCUUUAAAGGUCUUUUGGAGAAGUUUUUUGGGCCUUCUAGAUAUAGGAUCAUGUCAUCAACAGAGAUAGUUUGACCUUUUUUCCCCUAUUUGUAUCCCUAUAAUUUCCUUCUCUUGCUUGAAUGCUCUGGCUACAGUUUUGAGACCUUUAUUGUAUAGAAAUGGUUAGUGUGAACAUCCAUUCCCUGCUCCUGACUUGAGAGGAAAUGCUUUCAGUUUUUUCUGUUUGGUAUGAUGUUGGCUUAGGGUUGUAUGGUCUUUUUUUUAUGUUGAGAUAAGUUCCUUCUGUCCCUAGUUUCUCCAGCAUUUAAUAUGAAUGUCACUGGUUUCUUUUUACCUUUCUGUGUGACUACUACAGAAUGCUAAGUUACAUUCGUGGUACACAUUUUUAGCACACAUUUGUGGCUUAUGUUACAUUUCUGUUGGACGGUAAUGAGCUGGAGUGUUGAAAGGGAUAUAAGAUGACUAUAAGUGGAUCAAACACUUAGGUAUUAGACCAGAAACCUGCACAAACUAGAAGAAAUAGUGGGGCCAACACUGCAACGUAUUAGCUCAGUAACUGAUUUCCUUAAUAAGACUCCUAAAGUACAAGAAGUAAAAUCAAUUAUCAAUAAAUGGGAUGGCAUCAAACUAAAAAUCUUCUUCACAGAAAAGGAACUAAUCAAGAGUAUAAAGAGAGAGCCUGCAGCAUAGGAGAAAUUUUGGCCACCUGAACCUCAGAUAGAGCAUUAAUUUCCAAGAUAUAAAAAAAAAUCAAAAAACUUAACACCCCAGAUCAAAUAACUCAAUCAAUGAAUGGGCAAAGAACCUGAACAGGCACUUCACAGAAGAAAUACAAAUGGUCAACAAAUAUAUGAAAAAAUAUUAAACACCUCUAGCAAUUAGAGAAAUGCAAAUUAAAGCUACACUGAGAUUCCGUCUCACUCCAGUCAGAAUGACAAUUAUCAAGAAUACAAGUAACAAUAAAUGUUGGUGAGGAUGUGGAGAAAAAGGUACAUUCAUACAUUGUUGGUGGGACUGAAAAUUGGUUCAACUACUCUGGAAAGCAGUAUGGAGAUUCCUCAGAAAACUUGGAAUGGGGCCACCAUUUGACCUAGUUUUCCCACUCCUCAAUAUAUAUCCAAAGGAUUAAAAUCAACAUACUACAGUGACGCAGCCACAUCAAUGUUUAUAGCAGCUCAAUUCAUAAUAGGUAAACUGUGGAACCAACCCCAGGCGCCCUUUGACAGAUGAAUAAAGAAAAUGUGACACACACACACACACACACACAAUUACUCAGCCAUAAAGAAGAAUGACUUUAUGGUAUUUGCAGGUAAAUGGAUGGAUUUGGAGACCAUCAUGCUAAGUCGUAUAAGACAGUAUGCAAAAGCCAUAGGUUGAAUGUUUUCUUUGGUAUGUGGAAGCUAACCCACAAGAAUAGGGGAGGUGAGGAGAAGAAUAGAAGUUUAGUUAGACAAUGGGAAAUGGAGUGAAGAGAGAGGAGAUAGGAAAAGGAAAGGCAGUGGAAUGAAUCUGACAUAAUUUUCCCACGAACAUAUAUGAAAACAACACAGUGAAUCCUAUUAUCAUGUGCUGGGAGCCAUUAGCCAAGUAGGUAUGACAAUUUCCUUGCCAGCGUACCCCAUGUUGCAGUGACAUUGCAUGUAGGUGACCUUGCUCAAGGACCAGGGCGGAUUAGGGUGUUCCCGGUUUAGGAUAAUUGGGUUUAGAGCUUUCCAGUUUAGGGCGUUCCAGGUUUAAGAUUAUUCCUGCUGGGAAUAGGGCGUAUCCUGCUGCCUGAGUUCCCCUUGAGUUCUCACGGGAUUCAGACAGUAUUUUUUGGGAGAUAGAAGCCCAGUGGGAGUGGAUUUUGGGCAGAGAACGUGGAUUUCCCCAGAACGUGAUUGUAGACGGCUGGUGUGAGUUCUGGAAUAAAGAGUUGCUGUUUGAAUCUACAAGCUGUGUGGUGGCUCGUGAUUGUGUGCCCAGCCAGACUGCGGCAUUUGUGCCCAGCCAGACUGCGGCAAUCAUGUACAUCCACAAGAAUUGGAUCCUAACUAGAAUAAUAUGUAUUCCAUGCUUGUAUAGUCAUUAUAUAAAAUUGAAUUCAACUGUCAUAGAUAAUUAGAACCAAUAAAUAACAAAAAAGGGGGGGCAGAGACACCAAACAGUUGAACCAUGUUAGAAGGUAUCACAGAACUCAAGAUCUGAGUUAAGGGCUCUGAAAGACCACUCAGCUUUGAAUGGGUAGUGAGAUCUGGGGUAGAUUUUUUUAAGUGGAACAACUAAUGAGAAAUGACAGUCUGUUAUCUUUUGGGGAAUAGAAGAGAGGGCAGCCAAACCUGAACCAUAGAGUUUGUUCCAGGUACCUAUACAUAAAUUGAAACUCUCAUUUAGACUGAGGUCUGUGAACAGGAAAUAGCUUUUAUCAAAUUCUUCACUAGGGACCUAUUGUAAUUCUAUUGCAAAAGGAAGUAAACUGUAAGUUUAAAUAACUGUGCCAUUUGGAGAACUAUUAUUCUGUGAAAAUAUUAGGUAAGACAGGUCCUCAGAAAUUUGAGACUGUAAAUUGUUCAUUCUUGAAAUUUUCAAGUACAUUAUCUCUAAAUUAAAGGUGGCACUCUAAUAAAUUAAAGCUAUUUUACCUUAGAUGAAAGAUUAUACUUCUGACUAUAAAUUCUGGUCCUAAAUACUGGCCCUAAAUUUGUGUUAAAAUUUCCUUUUUGAAAAUAUUCAUCCAAUGUCGUCUGCAGUGGAGAUAUAACAUUUGUGUAUAAAUAUGAAGUUAAGGUGACACUUUAUGGGAAAGUUCACAGUUUGGAUGUCAAAUAGAUCUGAGUUGCCAUUCUGGUUCUCACAAUUAAUGGUUGGUGGCUUAGUUGCUCCGUACCUAAGUAAUCUCAUCUGUAAAACGGGGCCAAAGAUACCUACUGACUCCCUACACACAGAGAAGCUGUGUAGGGUUAAGUGAAUAGAGGCAGACAGUACCUUUGGUACAGCACUGGAAUGUCUUGAAAGCUCAGAGAAUGGUAGACACACAAAUGUGUGAACCUGGUGUGAGAAUUGCAGAACUGGUUUUUAAUAUCCUGACUGGGAAAGCAUAUGCAAAGCUGUCCAUGAGACUUCCUAGAGCCUAAAAUCAACUCUGCUCUUGGCUGUCUUAAGCAGUCUUUGGAAUGUUCUAUUAGUGACAAAUGAACUGAGAAUAUACCAUUUGUAUAAUAAGCAGAGAUUUCCUUUUCAAACUUCCUUAAACAAGAUGGGGAGACUGUCUUUUAGACCAAAAGGAAUAUCUCAAGAGACUGAGCAUAUGUUGAUUUGAUCUCAAGCCUAGACUUGGAGAGCAAUGCAAAACAGUAAGAAAUAGAAUCUGGUCAUCCUAUCACCCAUAAUGAAUCAUUUGCUUUCAGCUCUUUACAUAAAUACAAACAAAGCCAAUUUUGGUUAAUCACAUAGCCAUCUAUGAAAGAGUAGACUGGAUACUCCUUUUAUUUUACAGUACUGAUUCUCAAGAUACACAUGAGGGCUUUAAAUUCUGUUUGAGCCUUGGGAGUGAGGACCAUCUUAUCCAUACCCGAAUCCCCAAAAAUUAUUAGAUCAAGUGCCAAAAAAAAAAAUACUUAACUGAAUGAAUGAAUGAAUGAAUGAUCUGGUGAGAAAAUAAUACAUUUUUACAUGCUUUAAUGGGGAAUGAUGCCACUUUAGCACAGGGGAGAAGUGUCAUACUGUCAAAGUUUCCUUGGGACAGUGGUACUCAAACUCGGUUAUGAGCCAGGCAUGGUGGUACAUUCCUGUCAUCCCAGCUACUCCAGAGGCUGAGGCAAGAAGAAUUACAAGUUCAAGGCCAUCCUGGCAACUAAGCCAUUACCUUGUCUCAAAAUAAAAAUAAAAAGGGCUGGGGAUGUAGCUCAGUGGUAAAGCAUCUCUGGGUUCAAUCCCUUAAAAAGAGAGAGAGAGAGAGACCCUGUGACCAACUGACCUGGUUAUGGUUGAAAAACCCAGAGAAGGCAUUUUUAAAUUACACAUUCCCUUGCCCCUAAUUCUAACAUUGUAUUUCUAAUAUGGGGAGCAAAACUAUUCCUCUCAGGCAUUUCAGAAAAUCAAACAGACUUGGGCGAACACAAAGCCUGCAGCCAGUGAACUUCACUGAAGCCCGGUCAGAAUUCUGUAAAUCAUCUGUCGGGGUCAAGACAGCUGUGGGCACUUCAAGAAAGAACCCGGAUUUCAAAUAUUUGGAAGUCGUGAUCACAAUGAGUCCUGACCCCAGGAGAAUGGAUAUGAGUUCUUUCAAUUUGUUAGUGAUGUCAGGUUUAUUAGAUGAAUGCUCUUAAAACAAAAAGGCAAUGAUGAAUGACGUCAGCUGAGUCAUAGGUGGGACAGGCUUUUCUCUGGUGACUUUUGUUGCCAAGUUAAUAAAUGGAAAGUGAGACUCAUUCUGGUAAUUAGAAGCCAAAUUGACAAUCAAGAUGGUUCUUUCCCAAAUUUGCUUAACCAGGAAGAAAGGUAAAGUGCCAAUAUGGCAGGAUACCAGGGAAGUCAUGGCCUCCAGAUAUCAUGUGUUUACUGUACAGCAGGGUGACUUGUGAAAGGGUAGAAUUAUGAGUGCAUCUGUGUGGGUGUGUUAUUCCAUAAAGCAGGAGGCAAGGUGGGCAGUCAGCCUUCAUGUGUACAUCCCAGAGACUAGUGGGGUAGAUGUACGGGUGCACCUUCUUCCCAUACAUGAGAUCCAUGGUGGAUUCUAGCUGCCCUCCCUCACCUCAGGCUGCUGGUGUUGUGCUUAUCAGAAACCCAGCCAGUGCCAGCCACUAUGAAAGAACCCAAAUGUAGGAGGAAAGAGAUUCAACAUGCACCCGAGAAGGGCUUACUCAAAACUGAUGUGGCUUAGUUUGGCGGUCUUACUUCUAAAGGUCUUUUAGGUGACGACAGCUUGAAAAUGGCCAGGGAGAGUUGUCUGGUUUUUAACAAUGAUGCCUUUAUGUUUCUAAGGUUGGGAGCAAUGGAAAUAUCCAAUGCAUAUCCAAUGCACACAGAAUGGGAAGAUGACAGUCUGCAUAGGAAGAGUAGCCAGGGUGGUCAGCUGUAGUCAGUCGACCAGGAUCUAGGAUUUUAACUCCUGCUCUUCCCUUUGUUGGUGGUAUGAACUUGGACAAGUUAGUUAACCUUUGAGCCUGUUCCCUACCUUAAAGGGGAACAAAAAAAGAGUAUCUAACUCAUAAGAUUGUCAUGAAGGUUAAAUGAGGUGGUUAUGGUAAAUCUCAUAGCUGAGUGACUCAGGCCUCUCUGCUCAGAUCAAGGAUGUCCACCAUCUGAAAACAUGUCUUAAUGGCAAGGUAUGUUUUGGAUACGCAAAUAAACCACACUUUCUACAAAGAUUGAGUUGCCACCUAAGAUAGGGUAAUGGAGCUUCUUCAAAGGAUGAAAUAAGACCAUGACUUCAUUGAAACUAGCUGAUCCCUUUUUUGACCCGAGUUUGGUCACUCAUUCUCAAGGGUGUGCACUAUGUAGAAGCCAGUCAUCUGUGGCACCAUAAAUCAAUAUCUAAUUUGCGUCAAAUAUGUCAACAAGUUAACAAAAAGGCAGCAAGACUGGUACUCUGAGUUCUUGUAGUCUCUCUGGCAGCUAAUUUACAAGCUAAAUUGAAUCAUCAGCACCCAAUUAAAUUCCUCCUGCAUCAUGGCCCAAAAUACUCAUUUUUAUUUUCUUGAUGAAGGAGGGGAAAUAGGGAAGAAUGUGAGAGCCAUAUCGCUCUCAUCCAUAUAUUUCUUUGAACUAGAGUAUAUUUCACUCUUGAAUUCCUCUGGUUUCCCAAGUCUAGUGAAGUAAAGAAAUGUUAUAAUUAUAUUUCCUGGUUGCCUACAUAUCUAUCUCCUUUGCUAUAAUCUUGGUUACUCAUUAAACUCCCACUGACUCUAUCAAGGUUAAAAAAUUUAUCUGCACAGAUCUCAAUAUCCGCUGUAGUCCCCAAGCACCCAUGAGCUAGCAGCUUUUGUAUGGAAUCUCAUCCAGAGAAGGGGUUCAUCAUUUCUGAAUGGAACCUGCCAAUGAAAUAUUAAAGUCCUUAUUGUCUCAACCACCACCACUAGAAACCAACUGUUCUGUCUAGCUGGGACAAAAGGGACAGUUAUUCCCCCUGGAAGGAAGGGUGCCAAGAAAGAAGCCAUACCACCCAGCUGCACUUUCCAAAGUCCUACUGCCAGCACUACUGGUUGCCUUUCUCAACCCAGGUUGAUAGCCCCAUAUACCAGUCAGGCAAUAAAGACAAGUUGAAAUUACCUCCACCUGCACCAGAUCCAAUCUCAUUUCUGUCUAGAGUCUGAUUCAUGGCCACAUCUCCUGUGUACAGCCCCAGCCUUGCUGCUUUAAAUGUGAAGUUUAGAUGAGUAGGCUCCAUUUGCAAGUAAACCCCUUUCUUGAGUAAAGUUCCAAAUUGCUCCUCCAGCUUCCCCAGUUUGGUCUACCUUAGGGAAGGUUUCAGGUUGAAUUCCUUCAAAUAAGAUCCUGAUUCAAGGAUUUGGGUACAAGAUCAUGUCAGAAAGCACUUUGAGGGAAGGGAAGAAAUCCAAUGAGAAAGAGUAUGUUAAUAAAUAGGUUUCCUUGUACUCAAUCCUACUAGGCAUUGUCCAAUAGAUGGUGAGGACAACUUAGAGUUGUCAUUUGGAUGAGUGAAGAAGGUGGGGGACCUUAUCCACAAACUUCCAACACUUCUUACUGGUUGAGGGUUGCUGGCUAUCUGGCUUGCCCUAUAGGCAGGGUAUAUUCCAUACCCAAAGAAAUCUAUAGGCAAGAAACCUCAGGAGCCAUGGAGUUUCUGUGCUGAUUACACAGAAUGCUGAAGGGAUGCAGCCAGGUACCAACAGUCUGCAAGGAAGACAUUACCCCCACUCAAGACGAGCAAACCUGAUGUGUCACCUGCCAAAAGGAUCAAACACCAAUCAGAGACAGUUUUGUGGUGGAUUGCAUCCCCUUCUAAGAAUAUCUUAGACAAAAGUAGCAUAGAUGAACACACUGAACCAAAUGCACGGGCCACCAAGUCUCAGUUGUGGGUUGGAGCUUGUCUAUCAUGCAGAUAGAAAGUGAUGAUGGCACAGCUCCUAUUAAUUGCUGGGCAGGGCACAGAAAUUUCCAAAGGUUUAGUUCUCAUAAUUAUAUGGUAUAGACAUUUCUAUUCUCAGGGUUUUUGUGAGACUGCUGAAAUUUGGAGAAACUAACCAAUUCACCAAAAGUUCACAGUAAGUCAUGAAACUGCAGCUCUCUGUAGCCCUCCUCCUUUUGCUGGUCCACAGGCUUCUUGGACCUCCUAAUGCAGGACAGGCCUGCUGGAGGGGCAGACCAGGUCAUCUGCUGUCUGCAGGGGCUUGGGGGAUUUGGGAAGAACAGCUUCCCCCUCCCCUCACACCCUACUCCAGACAUGCUAAAUGUCUCCAUUCCUGUACCAUAACUGACAUCUAACAUUCUGCAGUCCCACAGUCCUCAAUCCAUUCUCUAGGGCUAGCAGAAAAAGACCAUAAAAUAGAGCAAAUAAAUCCAUUAAACUCUGAGCUCAUAUGGGGCAAGAACCUUGUGAAUCAUCACUUUAUCUCCAGUACCUAGAGCUUGGUGUAUUAAAAGGCUCUUAGUAUUCAGCUGCUGAAUAAAUGAAUAAAUAUUAGUGUGAAUAAAUUUAGCAAAUAUAUGAAGGAUAGAACGGCUAAAUAUAAGAAAAGAAUAAACAAUGCAGGCAAAGAGAACUUAGGACUUUUCCUAUUUCCUAUUAAUCCUAUUAACCUGGAGAGAAACUUGACUUUUGUUUCCUUAAUCAUUAUAACUAAUAUCUAGAGUCCCCUGAUUAUUUUCCAAAGUUUUCUUGCAAUGUUUACCUUUUCAGGCCCUAAAGGUGCUCGGGAUUCCCCUCUAUACUCAAUACUCAAAGGGAAUUGACUUUUUCCAUUUCAAAUUCCACCAUAUACUUCAUACCUACUUACAAUUUUUGUAUUUAAUUUUUUUUAUUGAUUGGUUCCUUCUGUUAUAUAUGGCAGCAGAAUCCAUUUUGACAUAAUUAUAAAAGCAUAGACUAUAUCUCGUUCUAACUUAGUCCCCAGUACCUCUCCUUCCCCUCCCCUAUUUUUACUCUUUGUCCUAACAUAAGAUGAGAUGAGAUACACAAGAUCUUCAAAAUUGGGUAGCUGAUCUUUGCUCCCAAGAAAGUCUGAGAUGAUCAGAAAAAAGGUCAGAGUUGGUGUUUACUACAGAGAGAGUAAAGAAUGUUAUGACACUCAAGAAAAACAGACAUCAAUUCUAUUCUCUCUCUCUCUACAUCAAAGGAAACAGGUUCUGUAUUCUCCCAACCCUAAGUGAAAAUAUUCUCCUUCACUAUGAACUUGAGGGCUGUAUGGCUCUUUCCCAUGGAGGAUUCAGACAACUCUAUGGGGAUAAUAAAAUGUUCCAAGUUCCUACUUACUGGAUUUGUCUCUGUGUCUUCUAGACUUACCCCAAACCUCAGCAGCCCAACAUUGCCAGGGGGUGGAUUCCAAACUAUGACCAAUGUAUCAGUUUAUUUCAUUCAAGUCAGCAAGACCCUGUGAGUCCUUUCUGAGUCAUAGCCUCAUGAGCAGUAAAAUAAAAUAAUUUUACAAAUUAAGAAACUGAACCAACAAAUGGCCAAGUAGGGAUUUUUUUUUUAAAAAAAAUUUAGUUGUAGAUAGACACAAUAUCUUUAUUUAUUUAUUGUUAUGUGGUGCUGAGGAUCAAAUCCAAUUCCUCACACGUGCAAGGCAGGCACUCUACCACUGAGCUACAGCCCCAGCCCAGCAAAGUAGAGAUUUUAACCUGGUUAUUGGGACUCUGAAUUAAGUGCUUUUCUACUGCACCAAAAUGAUAGGGUAUGAGAGUGCUCAAAGGUAACUGUGUUUUAAAUCAAGUAUUAAGUCAUGACUUGCAUACAAAUAUAAAAGAACACAUACCAAAGAUUUUAUUUUCAGUCCAGUUGAUGAGAGAAUGAAUAAGGUGUUAUAACUGACCCAAAGGAGAAGCUAAAGAACAGACAUAGAGAGACAUUCAGGAUCAUUGAAGUAAAUUGUUUUAAAACAUACAAGACUGACCUAAUCCAUAGGAAGGAAAUCAAAUGCAUCUUUACUGAAUAAAAUCCACCUGCAUUGCUAUGAUUAAGAAUCAUUUGUAUCACCAUCAGGUUUCUAUAGAUUUACUUCUUUCUCUAUGGAAUAGAGAAUAAUGACUAUUUAUAAAACAGACAAUAAAAGGCACUGGACCCUCUACAAUCAGUUAACCCUGGAAGAACCAUCAAGACAUCACCUACAUUUCAUCAAAAGGAUGCCAAGUAAACUUUUGCUCAUUGCAACGUCUGUCUUUUUUUUUUCUUUUAUUUGUUUACUUUUUAUGCAGUGCUGAGGAUCGAACCUAGUGCCCCACAUGUGCUAGGCAAGAACUCCACCACUGAGCUAAGGUCCCAGCCCCCAUUUCAAUGUCUUUCAUAAUUUUUCCUGGAGGUAGCAUGGCACAGGAAGAGACACUUGUGAAGCAUACAAUUGAAAAAGAAAAAAAAUCAAUCUAAAAGCUCUUCUACCUCUUUCCUAGCCUCUUAUUUCCUGCCUUAAAAUGGGAGUUGGGAGCCCAUCCUAGGGCCCAGGUUAGGGAAUUACACUUAAGUGAGAGUGAGAAGAUGCUCCAGAAACCAAGGGAAACCCAAGCUGCAGCAUUUUGAACAGAGUAAAAUUGCAGUGCUUAGUUUCUUCAGCCUUGAAGAGCUAUUUCCAAGGGCUAAUGGCACAGAGAGGAGACCAACCACCUUGCUGGCAGCCUAGCUUGCUGAUGACCUUCCCACAGAAGUAGCUCUGGAAAACAAUGAAAAUUAAUUGAGAAUACUUUCUAAAUAUCAGUCAAGAAUUCUGUACUCUCUCCUGUUCCUUUAUGAAACACUCAAGGUACUCCUGGGUGGACGGGGCACUGGAAUAAACUCAGGAGGAGGAGAGCGAGUGGUUAUAGGAUCUGGCUACCCACAUGACAACAUAUUGUUCAUCUGAAGAUGAGGUUGUAUAAGCACAUAGUAGUGGAUACUUAAAGGAAGACAAGAGAAAGGAAACCUAGACUUUCUUGAUGCUAUUUAAUCUUAAUGAUACCUGUGCAGACACUCAAGCUGGAUAUUAAGGGACAGCUAAGAACAGUCAAGGAAGUUGGGGGAAAUACCACUCCUCAGCUAGGGAAACAUUCCCACAGCUGCAAAUAACUUUGAGUUACAACAUAACAAUUCUAAUUAUUCUCCCUGGGCUCUGGUGUCUUGAACCUGAAUCUCCUCUCUCUUCAGGCCCUCCUGUAGAUGAACAACUGCAUCUUGUCCACUGCAGAGUCUGCCUAGCAGGAGGAUUCAUGGUGUCUUGGAAGCAUGAACAUAGUUGUAUGAUGGACAGAGAGGAUCCUGGAAAAAGAAUCCAUCCUAAAUCUGAAAGUCAGAGAGGUUUCCUGGCCAACAUAGAGGCAGAGAGCCAGGCCACCAUGAAUGUUCAACCAGACAACAUAUAAAAUCUUUGAUCCAGGAUUUGGCCCAUACCAAACCUCUCAUGAUUGCUAGCUAUGAGCCUCUCUGCCUUGCUGCUUCUCUGAGAGCUUUUAGCAGCAUGACACUUGUGAAUGGAUCAGAUAAGAGGACAAUCUGUUAAAUCCUUCCAGUCUCUUUCCUACCUUUAAAAUCAGUCAGGAGCCCAUCCCAGGGUUAGUGCAGAAUGCCUAAGUGGGAGAGAGAGAUGAUGUGGAAACCUCCAGAAACCCAGGGAAACAUGUUUCAGUGAUUUUUAAUAUAAAAAAAUUGCUUUAUGUAAAAAAAAAAUCCUGGAAGCCUAUCUGAUUUUAUUCAGUAUCUACUGGAGCAAUCCCAACAUUUGAUAUCAAUCAAUUAUUUAGGAGACCUUACCAUCUGCAUUGCACAAUCAGAAAGAAAGCAGCAGCUCUGGUUAGUAAGAUUAAGUUUUUCAUCCCACAACUUAUUUUCAUCCAUUCAGAAGGUCACCAGUUAAUGGUGCUCAUUUUUAUAGUGGGAAACCAUCGUAGAUGGCUCUACUAAUGAGAUGCUUUUAAAACAGCAGGUCAGUGAGUCUCGUGGUAUCACAUAAAGGACUUUUAUGAGGCUAUUGGCUUUCGGCAAAUAAUCACUUUAAUGCUAUAUCCUAAAUGUAAUUGUAAACACUCAGUUGGACUAUUUAACCUUAAUGAUACUUAAGCAGGAGAAGGCAGAAAAAAUGGUGGCCUCCCCCAAGAAGAGAUGAAAGUUGUAAUGGGGGAAGCAUUUCCUGAUAAUUAAACAGUAUGAUGAAAUGGUCCAUUUGGAGGUAAAGGUGGUUGAAGGUAUAGGUUUGGGCAUCUGUGCUAACCCUUUGACCUCAAAUUCAGACCUUAACCUCUCUGAGGCUAUUUCCUUUCCUACGACAUGAGCAUCAUGUUAAGCAUCUCUUGAGGUUAAUGUGAGAAUUCACUUAAUAAUUGUGACAAUUGUCAUCAAGAUCACAUGCCAGACUCAAGAUGCUUUGUCAUGUCUCCUCACAGCAGCGAGAGUCACAGAGCUUCCUUUUCUUGGAUAUUAGUGCAGCAAGGAGUCUCUCAGUGAAAGCUGUGCUCUCUGCCAGAUAAUCGAGUCCUCGCUCUAAGAGAAAACUAGAAAGGAAGAGAGAACUUUCUCCAGAUUUGUAUAUAGUUAUUUUGUUUUAGGUCUGGUCAAAUGAGGAUCUUGUAAAUAAUAUCUGUGGUUGAGGAGCUCAGGCAUGAGUGAAAGAGCAGAGAGUUCCCUCCAAAAAUGUUCCCCUUUCAUUUGUUUUUCUGCCCUCUAUCUGAAAUAGAAUUUGGAAAUUUUCUCUAUGCCACCUGGAAUCUCUUUUGCCAUGGGGAAAAGGAAAAGCGUAGCUUAUUUGAGAUGAUGGUGUAUAGUUCAUGUUUUUAAUCAUUCAGCCUCCAGAGAUGAGCAGCAAAAAAAAAAAAGAAUUGUCAAUUACCAAGUUCAGACAGAGUCUUUCAAGAUAGGUACCCAUGCCUACAGAUCUAAACCACCCCCUGCAGAAUAUAGCAUCAGUUUCUAACAUUACACCCAGGAUGAGAGUUAUAAGGGGUGUGUGUGUGUGUGUGUGUGUGUGUGUGAGAGAGAGAGAGAGAGAGAGAGAGAUGAUAAUGAUGAUGAUGAUGAUGAUGAUGAUGCAGAGGAGCUAAUGAAAGAGUGUUUACAAAAAAAUCUUUUUUAAAUGAGGUGAUUCUCACCCCAUCUAUAUUUCAAAGAAAAUUCCCGGGCAAAAUGAGACAUCUCUUCAAAGAUAUUUUCCAUCAAAGAGCAUUCUGAGAUUCCAUGAAAGGUUUCACUGUAGAAUCCCAAAUAGAUCAAUUAAUUACCUUACUAGAACUUGGUAGCUCUUAUCCAGUAAUUGGGUAUUCAUGUCUCUGCAAACCAACCUUGAAAAUCAACUUUAGAAUCCUAUGCAUUCUCAAACCAGUAACCUCCUGAGAAUUCAACUGUGUAAUCCCUUCAUUUUUACAUAUGAGGGACCAAAGUCUUAUCAGUCAGAAUAUUAGUGACAGAAACCCCAGCUCAGGCUGGCUUUAAUCAAAAAGAAAAUUUCUAUUAAAGUAAUUGAAAAGUUUAGGGGUGAUACCUCCCAACAUGGCUAUAUCAAAGUGGUCACGCAGUUUCCAAGCACAUAUGUGUCAACACCUCAUUCUAUGUGACUCUGUCUGUGUCACCUUAGUUUCAGAUUCUCUUGCUGAAGACACAAAGAUGACUGGCAUCUCCAGCUUAUAUACAGAAAACCUUGAACUCCAACAGAAAGAUAUUCUGCCUUCCAGAACCACCCCCACCCCCGACACACACACACACACACACACACACACACACCAGGCUUACCCUAUUUGGUCGACCCAAGUCAUAUAGCCAUGUGCUCACAUACAUGGUCUGACACAUACCAGUGGUCAGCCUGAACCACAUCCUAACCCAAAAAUCAUGAGCUGGAGGAGAGGAGGAAGUUAUGAAAGGUAAACAAGGAUACACUUACCCUGGAAGAGAGAUGAGGAGAUAUUGAGACAAAAUAAAUAGAUGUUUACUGCAGACACUGAGAGGUGUAAUCCACCAAAAAUUACACACAGUUAAUGGAAGAUAGAUCUCCUGCACUAUUCUAUAUUGACUUUUGAGUCACUAGGGUCAAAGGAACUAUUAUUCAGAGGAAACAGGAAAUUACUUGUUUUUGAUUCAGCAGAUUUAUAUCGGGUUACCGGAACAGUGUACAAGUACACACUGUCAACUGAGAAAAUACAGAAUGAGAAAAGUUCUAUGAAUUCAGCAACACUUUUUAAAUCCUUAUUAAUCACAAUGGCAUCUACAUACUCUUGAAAAAUAGACUUUCCCAAACAUUCCAGACAUUCCACUUAUUCAGGCUAGAGUCAAUUCUUGGUCCCCACAUGAAUUUUGCAGCACGUUGUGUGGUUCACUGCCCAGAGAAUUAUUAAGAAUUAUUGUUUUAAUCCAACCUGUAGACACGCCAGAAAAUAAAGCCAUAUAUUUGGUAAAACUCAAGCAACAAGCAAUCUCAGAACUUGAGAUGAAUGUUGCAGGAAGGGGAUGAUUGCCAUGUGGAGAAGGGGGAGGCUAUGACCAUUCGGUAGACAUAGCAGGAGCAGAGGACCACGAGAGACCGGCCUGGUGGAGAGGAGAUGUGGGCUUAGUGAAGCAUGGUGGACUAGAUUCUGGAGAACAGGAAACCAGCUUCUGGCUCCUGUUUCCACAUAACUACUGAAUGUGGGCACUCAAUGUGAAGUUAGUGAAGGUCCUUCAGUUGGCAGAUAACAGGAUGAACACAGUGCUAAGUGAUAAAGAAAUGAAACCUUUGGCUCUCUUAGGAAACCAGUUCUCCUGAAUCUGUAGUGUUUAUGGAAUUACAACAAAUUCAUUUCAGGAUAUCAGUCUUAGCGUGAUGAUAAGCCAUUGCAGGCUCCACUGAAUCAUUUGGGUGAUGAGCAGAGAACUGGUCCUCCUUGUUAGCAUUUUACACAAAAAGGAAAACAAGAGUGGGAAAUACUGCUCAGAGCAGCAAAAGCUCAUAGUCCACUCUUAUUUGCUAGGGUGAUUUUCCUGACACUGUAAUCAAAUCAAUAAGAAUUGGUUAUUUAAUAAGGAAGGUUAUCAGAUUGUAAAAAUGAUUCCUGACUUCAAGGGCCCUAUGAGACCCAGGUAUCAUGCCUCUAUAAGCUAUGUGACCAAAAUCAGCUCCAAUGCUCUGCUACUCUUUAUCUUGGCUAUUGGAAAAGGUACCACUGGACCUGCACUAGACUGAUGGUCCUGCACUGUUUAUUAUCAAGAAGGAUGGGGUAGGGGAAAGAAACUGAAAUGAGCUCAGGACUAAUGAAGGCAGAGAUCACGCAUCUCAUUCAUUUUCUCAUUUAACUCUCCCAAACACCCUGCAUGCAAAGGUAUUACUGCCUUCGUCUGAACAGACUUGCAGGGAUUAAGUGAUUUAUUUAAGGACAUGUAGCUUGUAGUGGCUGAGUUGAGUCAAACUGAGAUCAGAGCCAAAGUUCAUGAAUUUCCCAAUAAAUAUAUACAACAUUGGGUGGCAAGAGUGGCAAAAUGGUUUUAUCUGUCCUUACUCUGUGGCUAUUAAAGUGAAAAAUAUCAGGGACCUUGAAUAAUUAGAGAACCUUAUGUUCCCACCUCUCAUUCCUUUAACUAUAGAUCGUUGUUCAUCAGCCUCUUUCCAUCCAAUUUCAUUUUGCUCUCCCCCACUCAGCUCCUAUAAUAUGGAAAACACUGAUGUAUUUAAUCUCAUCUAGUUCUCACAGAAACUCCAUGAAGUAGGUACCAGUUUUCCUUAUUUAACAUAUGGAAAAUCUAAGAGCCAAAUAAAAGCAAUAACUUCCCCCAAAUCAUGCAAAAAAUGACCGUGGGAUUCCAAUCCAUUUCUGACUCUAAGCCAAAGCUGUCCCCUGAGUGGCAGCACCUAUCUAUGCCUGGCGCUUGAUGUCAUGCUCACCACCAGUCAUUUUUCUAAAAAAAAAAAAAAAAAAAAAGAUAAUAAUAACACCUGCCACAGAGAGCAUCAAUCAGGAUAAAGAGGGCCACUGCCAGCUGAGCAUUCAGAAGCCUCCUUACUCAAUUAUCAACUUUCCCAAAGAAUGGAGACUCUAGCAGGGCUCCUACCUGGUCCAGGCACUAGCUGCCAAGCAACCAUUGAGUGUUCCCUGCAAAGCUGAGUGGUACUGGAGUUGCCAGGUGUCAUUAAACUGUCAGAUCCCUUCCUGGAGCCCCCAGCAGCCUGACAAGCUAAUUGUCAGGUGUUGAAAUCAACAAGUUUCAAAAGGUUUCACAAUUAACCUCCCUCUGCCUCUAGAAGCAUUAUUGUUCUUCCCGCAGAAGCUACACAGCUCUGUUUCCAUUGCUCAGUCCUUGUGUGCCCUUGGCAUUGAAGUUCAGGGAGCCACAGUCAUAUUAGCAUGGUCAGUGCUAAACAUAACCAGGGAAGGAAAACAGCUGCAAGAAACACAUGUGUUGUACAUUUCCAAAACAAAGGCACGUUGAACUAUCCACUGGUUUAUCUGCCAUGGAACUAUGCACCUCUGUUAUUGCUAAAACACAGAGCAGAGAAUGAAAGAUUAGACCCUGACACAUAGUCCCAGCAAUUUCAAUUCCCUUCCUUGAGGCUGAGUUAGAAAUGAUCUUCCUCAGUUAGUUACAAAAAAACAAAAACAUACAAACAAAGAAAAAACCCUUAUAUUUACAGAUAAAUGUACAGCCUAAAAAAACUACAUUUAUUUGAAUUAUCACUGUGGUAAAUAAACUUUGAAAGAAUAGAGGUGGGGUGGUUUUUAGCUCAAGGUAACAUAACAAGUGGUGAUCAAAAUGCAAAACAGACAGUGUUUUUCUUGACUCCUCUUGCGGCAUUCUUUCCUUUGGACCAUACUGCCCUUCAGGUAUUCUCCCAAAAGUGUGGCUGGUGGCCAAUUAAAGCUCAGAGAACUGGGGCUCAGGGACUAAAGGAAAAAAGAUAUACACUUGCAGACUGAAUUCCGACUCCUUAAAGAUUGGCGGCCAGCCUCACUGGUCACUCCUGCAAUUUAACAGACAUAUGCAGAUUGUCUGUCAUAUGUCCCGACAGCCCCAGUUACUAGAAGCAUGGAAUUCAGCAGAAUAUCUCUUGGGAACCCACAAACCAGUUGUCUAUCAAGGAUCUGCAGAAAGAUUUGCUAGUAGAGAAGGAUGGGCAAUUGCCACAGGAACUCAAAGGAAGGAUGGGGGAAGACACAGAAGAACAGGGCCCUAGAGAAAGGAAGUAUGAGUACAAAGAGCAUGAGCAUUUUAGGACCUGAGCCCAAUGUGAUGUGGCUGGAAUGAAGGAUGAUAAAAUAAAGAUUAGAAAUGUAUGUAGAGACAAGAUGCUAAAGGAUCUUGAACACCAUGAAGGAUAUGAACAUUUUUCGGAAGCAAUGGAUCAAUUUCAACCAUUGAAGAACUUUGACAUCAUUUAAAUCACAUUUUAGAAAAGUUCCUCUAUCCCAUUCCUCAGUAUUUACCCCAAAGAACUAGACCAGCAUGCACUAAAGUGCAACAUAGCCAUGACAGUGUUUAUACCAGCGCAAUUCACAGUUCACGAUAGCCAUAUUAUGGAAUCAAUCCAGAUGCUCAUUAAUAGAUGAAUGGGUCAAGAAAACGUGAGGCACGUGCACGCACACAUCUUAAUAAUAAUAACAACAACAACAACAACAACAACAACAACCCAAUCAUUAAAUGGGCAAAAGAACUAAACAGCAUUUCUCAAAAGAAGAAAUACAAAUAGUCAACAAAUACAUGAAAAAAAUGCUUGACAUCUUCAGCAGUUAGGGAAAUCAAAUCAAAACUACAUUUCAUCUCACAUCAGUGAGAAUGGCAAUUAUCAAAAUUAAAAAUAAUAAUAAAUACUGGUAAGAAAGUGGGAGGGAAAUGUAUAGUCACACAUUGCUGGUGGGUCUGCGAAUUAGUGUAACUACUCUGGAAAGCAGAAUAGAGAUUCCUCAAAAAACUAGGACUAGAACUACCAUAUGACCCAGCUAUCCCAUUCCUUGGUACAUAUCCAAGAGAACUAAAAUCAGUGUAUUAUAGGGAUGAAGUCACAACAAUGUUUAUAGCAGCACAAUUCACAAUAGUCAUUUGUGGAGCCCACCCAGGUGCCAUCAACAGAUUAAUGGAUAAAGAAUAUGCGGUACAUAUACACAAUGAAGGACAUUACUCAGCCAUAAAGAAGAAUGAAAUUGUGGUAUUUGCCAGUAAAUGGAUGGAACUGGAGAUCAUCAUGCUUAUUGAAAUAAGCCAGACCCAGAAAGUCAAAGUGCUAAUGUUUUUUCUCAUAUGCAGAAGCUAGUCCAAAGUAAGGUAAAAUAAAAGGAAGGGAAGCAGUGGAUUCCAUUAAAAUAGAACAAAGAACAGUGAAGAAGAGGAAGGAGAUUGAGGGGGAGGGAGGAGGGAUAAGACCCUUAAGGAAGGAACAAUGGAAUGCAUCCGAACUAACUUUCCCAUGUACAUAUGUGAAUGCACCAAUAUGAGUCUCACCAUUAUGUAUAUCCACAAGGCACUAAUGGAAAAAAAAAAAAACUAAGUAAAUACCAGAAAGAUCAGUGGUGUAGAGGGUAGGGAACAGCCGGGAGGCAGGAGGGGAGGGAAAGGAGUAUACUGGGGUCUGAAUUAGGGUAAAUUAUAUUCCAUGCUUUUAUAAUUAUGUCAGAUCUAAUCCUAAUGUUACAUAUAACUAAAAAAGAACUAAUAAAAAGAAAAAAAGUUCCUCUAAUGAUAGUAGGCAGAAUGGAUUAGGCAAUAAUAGAAAUAGAAAAAGCCUCUAGUAUGGUUAUCAAAAAACCUUUCCAGUUUUUUAAAAAAGGUGCAAAACUAAAAUGUCCAUGGCAGGAGAUAGAAAGACAGGAUUGAGUUGAGAGAUGCUGAGAAGAUAGAAUGAUAGGAAUUCAUAAAUGUGGGGGUUGGAAAGACGAAAGGCCAAUGAAUGACUCCCAAAUUUUUUAUUUUAGUGCUUGGAAAGAGUUCUGUAUUCACUAGGGAAAAGCAGACUCGAGAGGAAGUUGAAGAGUAGAAAUUCAGAUAUGUCAACUAUGGGACUCAUCAGAGGGAGAUGGUUAGAAGAUCUGUGGAUGGGCAGGCCUGGACCUCUAGAGGAAGCUCAGGGAGGGAGCAAAGGAAGAGAAAGUUCUCCAUGUGUAGCCCCCCAUUGAAACCAGAGGCCAAGACAGCACUGUUCACUAAAGGAGUGCAGGAAUAAGCAGAGGAAACCCUGGGACCCAGCAACUCCUGAAUCAGCAGGGUCCUAGAAAUCAAGGACAGGAAGAGUGAGGAGGCAGGAUCAGCAAUGAGCUGCAUGUGAUCAUUUCAUCUAGCACCAGAGAGCCACUGCUGACUUUUUAAACAAAUGCCUCUGCAACUGGGUUUAUUUACAUGUGAGGGGAAAUAAAUAAAAAUGUCACUUUUUUUUUCCUUAGAAUGAGGUUAUUUCAUUUAUAUGUAGGUAAAGGCCUUCAACUAUGUGUGUGUGUGUGUGUGUGUGUGUAUAAGUCUGGGGAAGCAGGACUUCUUGGUCCUGUUCUUGUACCUCCAGAGCUUCCAAAGCCCCCUAAAUCUUCAUUUGUUUCUCUGAGCUUUAACUAUUCCCCAUAAAUAACUAUCUUCUAGAUUCCCAACUAGGAAUACCACUUUAAAAAACAGUGCUCAGAUACAAGCUAAUGCCCCAGGCAGUCUUGUUUAAAGACGGUGUUGUACUCCAAGAAACAAUCUAAUGUGCAUAAUGUUCGAAGAGUUUUUCCAAUUAUUCCUUAAAGAACAUGAAAGGGGAUUGAAUUCAUAAUACACCCCCAGUUGCCUCGGUGCUUUUCCACCUCUCUCCCUUUCUUGCACCCCAGCUACUCCUUUGGAACCUCACAUUUAACUCUACAAUUUUCCCCUUGCACCUCCAAAUCUUCCAAAACCUCAGAAUUUGGGUUGCCUUCCUUUGUCCUUUUAGCCUGUGAACUAGCUGCAGAGACAGAGCUCCACAUCUCAAGAGAAAGAGAAAGAAGAAGGAACUGAAUAAACAGAGAUUGGAUGCUCUCAAAGCCAGCAGCGCUGAGUUCAGGAAAAGGUUGUGAAUGUGCAUUUUACUAAACUUUUUUUCCAACUACAUGUUUAGAACUUUAAACUUUUGAAAACAUAUUUAUGUUUGUACCCUUACGUGAUCCUCCCACCAUGCCCUCUGAAAUCAGUGGAACUCUAUGAGAAAGCACAUUGAGCAGUAUGGUUUGAAUGUGUUUCCUGAAGGUUCCUGGGCUGGAGGUUUGGUCCCUAGUGUGGCAGCAUAGAGGUGGUGAAGUUGUUCUGGUGGGGCCCAGAGGAAGGUAAUUAAGUCACAGUGGGCAUUACCCUCAGAAGAGACUAGUGUCAUUCUCACGGGAGUCCAGUCAAUUCCCUUGGGAGAAAACUUUUAGAAAAAGAGAAACCCUGGUCCCUGAAUCUCUCUGACUUCUUGUCUUGCCAUGUGAUCUGUUCUGAACAGGCUCCUGCCAUUUUGCUGCCAUCUAUCAUAAGGAUCUCAUCAGAAGUUAGAGAGACGGAACUUCCCAAUAUUGGGCUUUCAGCCUCCUAACCUGUGGGUUAAAUGAACCUCUUCUGGUUAUAAAGCACCCAGCCUCAGAUAUUUUACUAUAGCAGCAGAAAAUGAACCAAGACACUGAAAUACCAAAUCCCCUGUCCAAAUUUACUCAUUUUGUCACACCAGAGCCAAACUGCACCUCUUUCCCAGAAGUCUCACCCCAGUUAUCUCUCCUGUCCUCCCCAAUCCCCUAGGCUCAGCCACAGCCAGUGCUUGCUGAGUAGGCUCUGGUUGGUGAGAAUAGAGUCGGAGUAUGGGUCACUCAUGAAUCCUGGCAUCUUAAGUAUGUUUUGUGCAUAAACAAGAGUGCUUAAGCCAACAAAGAAUAUGGGAGGAAAUGAAUCCCAUUUUAUCAACUAUUUACUGCAGCUAUAGCCUAGGUACCUCCUGUAAACUCAGGCUGUGAGUUUAAAUAUCAAAUCAUUUCUUGUAUGCUUGAAUUUUGCAUGACUACAAUUUUCAAAGAAAUAACACCAUUUCAUGCCUCCUGCCUGAACAGACAGCCCCCCUCAAACUCAGCAUCUGCCAGAUGCACAAAUUUGGAAGGAAAUGCUAGAACCCUAGCCCCUUUCUCUUGGAAGAUAAUUAAGUAUGAAUUAUUCAGAAAUCCUAUAUUACUGAGCAGUAUUGUGGAGGCAAUUUUGCCCAGUUUCCAUCUUUCCCUGUGAUAGGACACAAAAUUCAGUCUUCUAUAGCAUAUCUUAUUUCAUAUUUCCCUAACUUUAAAACAGCUGAAAUUGAGAGGCAAGUCAAAAAAAAAAAGAACUAAUUUUUAUAGAAGAAAAUCAUAUAUCUAACAUCAGAUAGUUUCUGGUAUUGUGCUCAGAUGAGAGGAGAGAAUAGACAGCAAUUUUAGUAACAGCAGUCCUUCAUUUGGUAGUUGGGUAGCAACCUGGUUUCUUUUUCUGCCAGCAAAGUCAGGGACUUGAGUUGAAAAUAAGUGUUGAAACCUUGUUUACUCUGCACAUCUUGGGGAAAUAUCACUGCAAAAUUAAAAACACUAUUGGCACCAGGUGCAUGCUAAGAAUGUAAGUAGCACUGUUAAUUUACUCUAAUGAAUUAAUUACCAUAAUGCCCUGGUCUACAGGGAAUUUACCUAGAAAGAGGAAUGGAAUGGUUGGGGAGAUCCAGGGCUGCUUCAUCGCUCACACUGGAGGAAGCUCGCCUACACCAGAUGAGCUGCUCUGGGAGACCUAGAUCAGGGGGAGAGGUUGAAAGAAACCCCAGGAGGCUUCGGCAUUCCUGUGGUUCUCAUGAUGCAUCAGAACACUUGGAGGGUUACACAAUCCACACUGCUGGGCCUUACCCCAGGUUCAAGUUAAAAUCCAAGAGGUCCCCAGGUGAUCAUUGCUGCUGUUGCUGGUUUCAGGCACCAUGCUUUAAAAACUAUGGUCCUAGACCACUGAGCUACAGAGAAGGAGGCAGAGUGAACUCUGAAAUCUUCCCGCUUAGCUUAGUGGGAGACCCUGAGGAGGUGCCCCAACACUCUAAGGGAUACAUUGUCCAUCUAUAAAUGGGGAUGACCACAAGCACUCAGGUGCUGUUGUGAAGAAGAGGGCCACACUGUCUGACACACCUGUGAUCCUUAGCAAGCUCCAGAUAGAUUAUGACUAUAGGUUGAUAGCAGCCACAGCAUCUACCAAGUCCCAUCUUUCCUAUGAGCUCAGACAAGGCUUCAUUCAUGCAAACCUUGGAAGGGACAUAAAUUGUCUCUGGCAGUGUCCUCUCUGUGCCCUUUUGGGUUCAUUUGUUUUCGAAAGCCCUGAUUAGAAAUAAAUACCAGCAUUUCACACAGGAUAAAAUACAAUACUGAAUAAUAACAACAAUAGCAGCUGUUAAUGGCACUUCCAAGGCUCCAGGCGCCAUGCCAAGAAAGUUACCAUGCUUACAUUUAAACCCCAUGACCCCUGUAUGAGGUAGGAAUCAUUAUCAACCCAUAAACAGGUCAGCUGAGGGGAAACUGAGUCUCAAAUGGGUCAGUAACUCACUCAAGGUCACCCCACCAGCCAGCAAUGGAAGCCAGAUUCAAGCCCAAUUGGCCCAACUCCAGAGCUCCCAGGCCGGCCCUUCUGCUAUGGAUUUACCUAAGGGGGUGACCACGAUGCUAUUUUGCAUUUGCUCAGGACUUUCCAGGUUCUACAGCACUUCACCAAAGCCACUGGGUUUGAUUUCCUACUUUUGCCAAGUACUUGCUGGGUGCCCUUACAUGAAUCAUCGAACAUUUCUGAGCAAACUUGUGAAAGCCUCAGAAGGUUUAUGAUUAUUUGCAGGAAUAAGAAGGGAUGUAAGAGGACAAGAAACAUCCGCAAAAAUAAUGAGAUUAAACUCAACUAAAUGCUACCGUGCACAACAGUUGAAGGAUUUACUCAAAGGCGUCAUGACACAGGGUGGUAUUUUCAAAGCCCGCAGCCCAGGGGGAUAUUAAAAAGUGAUACGAUUCAGAAAUAGUAAUCGUUAUUAAGAGAAGGAAUACAAAUUACAUCUAUGGGAAUUUAUUUUGUACUGAGCACCCUAAUAUGAGGCUCUGAAUAAAUUUGCAUAUGUUCUGGUUUUAUAUCUGAGCUUAAAGAGGUUACGGAGCUAGACAUAAAUGUAGAGCAGUCUGCUCCCAACACCCUCUCUUUCUGGGAUAAACUCCAUGAAGAUUUGGGGAUAAAAGAGUCUGGCAUUCCUGUUCCUUCCUGCCAGUGAUGUGUGACAGGGCUUCCCUGCCCAUUCUACAUGUCUUUCAAAUUCCACGCCCAUCACAUCACCCUGACAUCUUGAAACAGCCAUGGUGGAAGUUUUUACACUACAAAAAUCAGCAGGUGCUGCAACGCAAGGCUCUCUCUCUCUCUCCUCCCCACCCUUCUUCCCUAGUCAGGUUCCCAGAAAACUGUUGACCUGUCCUCUCUCUUUAUAUAUUUUUACUGUCAAGAUUUGGCACCUAUCAGGAGGCAACAGAGACAUUAUAAAGGGCUAAAAGCACUAUUUAAUAUUACCGGGAGGAAAUCAAAGUUGUUUUGAUCAAAAACUGUGUUGACUUCCAACAGAGACAGUUCCUCUUCCUUCUUUAGUCUAUGGAUAAAUUUAUUCCUCUUUAUCUAUUCUAUUAUCCCCAGGUCCAGGCAAAGCAUGAGCAUUCCAGGUACAUGGACCCAGGUGUGCUAUUAGGCCUCUUCACAGCUCUCACUGACCGUUGACCACCCGUCUCAGAACAGAAGAGCAUCAGCAGGAUUCUCUUCUCCAUCCCAGCCUUCAGACCAAACAGAGUCCAUGAAGAUGUUGAGAAGCAAGGACAGAAAGAGGAAGCUUCCCCUACAUCCCCCAGAUACUCCUCUCCUCUCCAGGGGCUGUAAGAAGCCAUCUUCCAAGGGCUUAUGAAAACACAGGGAUCUUUGCAAUUUCACACUGAAGGACUUCAUGCCUCACUCUGGCUGGAAGCAGGAAGAUUCCUCAGAAGUGCAUCCCUCCCUCUCUUUAGGACUCCACUUCCCUCUUGGCAAGAGGAGUAAACUAAUCAAAAGGAGGCCUUUCCUUCCCCUUGCCUUCCAAUCAUCCUUCACACCCCUCACAUGCCUGGCACUCAUUAGGAGCUUCAUGUCUGACACUUCUUUCUCAGACCUUCACAGGUAUUAGGAUACAAGAAAUUCUGCUAACAGCCUCUUUUGCAAUUCCACAAG